Piliocolobus tephrosceles (Ugandan red Colobus) is the source of this 637-nucleotide long non-coding RNA. RefSeq lists it as uncharacterized. The transcript has 3 exons. The record is from RefSeq and is a predicted model, not a curated record. Lineage: Eukaryota; Metazoa; Chordata; Mammalia; Primates; Cercopithecidae.
GAGAGGGUUAGGAGGGAUGGCCUCCUUCUGCUUUUUCUCUUUCUAUUCUGCUUUGCUGAAUGUGUAUGUGGAGGUUAGUGCUACAACAGCCCCUAUUAGCACAUGGGACACAGUGGAGUGAAGACCUGGAAGAAGUCCCGCUCCUUGAUGAGUUAAUGAGGCCACCAUAUCCUCCCUAUACUGCCUCCUCCAGACGUCAUUUCCAUGUCAGAGCCCGUAAUACUUGUGUGGACCUGCUUUGGAAUGAAUGUACCCAGAAGAGCUCUCAGCUGGUGACUGAUGCAAGCUGAUUCUGCAGAAAUGCUCCAUCCCCUGUGCCCUCAGUCUAUGCACAGUGAAUAUCCUGGCCCCACUUUAGUCUGUGCACAGUGAAUACCCUGGCUGAAUGCACCAGGAGAAUCCACGGCUUUUCUACUUACAGAAUUGCAAAACCUAUUGUUACAGCUCUUUGAAAGUGUAGAAACCAGAGUAUGUAAGUAACUCCAUUUUUAUAAUGAAAACAUUUCCCUCUCUUUGAAUGCACAUGAAAAAUGUUGAACACUUAGCCAAGUGAUGAAAAGGAGAUGUAUUAAAGGUCAUUAGAAUUUUGUUUCAAACUUUGGCAAAAUACAAGACUAUUUCCCAAAUAAAUGAAGGA